RNAcentral lists this ribosomal RNA (385 nucleotides) under uncultured bacterium. RNAcentral describes it as "bacterial SSU rRNA". It matches the Rfam family "Bacterial small subunit ribosomal RNA", at positions 29 to 417 of the family's 1533-position model. The record is from RNAcentral.
AUUGAACGCUGGCGGCAUGCCUUACACAUGCAAGUCGAACGGUAACGCGGGGCAACCUGGCGACGAGUGGCGAACGGGUGAGUAAUGCAUCGGAACGUACCCUGGAGUGGGGGAUAACGCCGCGAAAGCGGCGCUAAUACCGCAUAUGCUCUGAGGAGGAAAGUGGGGGACCGCAAGGCCUCACGCUCUGGGAGCGGCCGAUGUCCCAUUAGCUAGUUGGUGGGGUAAAGGCUUACCAAGGCGACGAUCGGUAGCUGGUCUGAGAGGAUGAUCAGCCACACUGGGACUGAGACACGGCCCAGACUCCUACGGGAGGCAGCAGUGGGGAAUUUUGGACAAUGGGGGCAACCCUGAUCCAGCCAUGCCGCGUGAGUGAAGAAGGCCU